UUUGUAGUCCCUCCGUCCCAAAAUUCUUGUCUUAUUUGUCUAAAUACGGAUGUAUCUAGUUACAUUUUAGUGUUAGAUACAUCCGUAUCUAAACAAAUGUAAGACAAGAAUUUUGGGACGGAGGGAAUACUAC
Triticum aestivum (bread wheat) is the source of this 133-nucleotide non-coding RNA. The record is from Rfam. Lineage: Eukaryota; Viridiplantae; Streptophyta; Magnoliopsida; Poales; Poaceae.